CCUACGGGCGGCAGCAGUGGGGAAUAUUGCACAAUGGGGGAAACCCUGAUGCAGCGAUGCCGCGUGGAGGAAGAAGGUUUUCGGAUUGUAAACUCCUUUUAUCAGGGACGAUAAUGACGGUGGCUGAUGAAAAAGCUCCGGCUAACUACGUGCCAGCAGCCGCGGUAAUAAGUAGGGAGCGAGCGUUGUCCGGAAUUACUGGGGGUAAAGGGAGAGUAGGCGGGACGGUAAGUCAGAUGUGAAAACUGAGGGCUUAACCUGAAGAUUGCAUUUGAAACUGCUGUUCUUGAGUGAAGGAGAGGAAAGCGGAAUUCCUAGUGUAGCGGUGAAAUGCGUAGAUAUUAGGAGGAACAUCGGUGGCGAAGGCGGCUUACUGGGCUUUUACUGACGCUGAGGCACGAAAGCGUGGGGAGCAAACAGGAUUAGAUACCCUUGUAGUC
Molecule: ribosomal RNA, 440 nt
Filed under: uncultured bacterium
Lineage: Bacteria
Description: partial 16S ribosomal RNA
Rfam family: Bacterial small subunit ribosomal RNA
Source: RNAcentral